RNAcentral lists this ribosomal RNA (894 nucleotides) under uncultured Actinomycetes bacterium. RNAcentral's name for it is "bacterial SSU rRNA". It matches the Rfam family "Bacterial small subunit ribosomal RNA", at positions 8 to 916 of the family's 1533-position model. Lineage: Bacteria; Bacillati; Actinomycetota; Actinomycetes. The record is from RNAcentral.
AGAGUUUGAUCCUGGCUCAGGACGAACGCUGGCGGCGUGCUUUAUACAUGCAAGUCGAACGAUGAAGUUCCUUCGGGAAUGGAUUAGUGGCGAACGGGUGAGGAACACGUGAGAAACCUGCCUUUCAUUCUGGGAUAACACCGGGAAACCGGUGCUAAUACCGGAUACUCCAUCUUGGCGGCAUCGCCGAGCUGGGAAAAAAUUUUGAUGAAAGAUGGUCUCGCGGCCUAUCAGCUAGUUGGUGAGGUAAAGGCUCACCAAGGCGACGACGGGUAGCCGGCCUGAGAGGGCGACCGGCCACACUGGGACUGAGACACGGCCCAGACUCCUACGGGAGGCAGCAGUAGGGAAUAUUGGGCAAUGGGCGAAAGCCUGACCCAGCGACGCCGCGUGAGGGAUGAAGGUCUUCGGAUUGUAAACCUCUUUCAGUAGGGAAGAAGCGAAAGUGACGGUACCUAAAGAAGAAGCACCGGCUAACUAUGUGCCAGCAGCCGCGGUAAUACAUAGGGUGCAAGCGUUGUCCGGAAUUAUUGGGCGUAAAGAGCUCGUAGGUCGUUUGUCGCGUCGAUUGUGAAAAUCUGAGGCUCGACCUCAGACCUGCAGUCGAUACGGGCAAACUAGAGUGUGGUAGGGGAGACUGGAAUUCCUGGUGUAGCGGUGGAAUGCGCAGAUAUCAGGAGGAACACCAAUGGCGAAGGCAGGUCUCUGGGCCAUAACUGACACUGAGGAGCGAAAGUGCGGGGAGCGAACAGGAUUAGAUACCCUGGUAGUCCGCACCGUAAACGGUGGGCACUAGUUGUGGGAACCUUCCACGGUUUCCGCGACGCAGCAAACGCAUUAAGUGCCCCGCCUGGGGAGUACGAUCGCAAGAUUAAAACUCAAAGGAAUUGACGG